UGGGGAAUAUUGGACAAUGGACCAAGAGUCUGAUCCAGCAAUUCUGUGUGCACGAUGAAGUUUUUCGGAAUGUAAAGUGCUUUCAGUUGGGAAGAAAAAAAUGACGGUACCAACAGAAGAAGUGACGGCUAAAUACGUGCCAGCAGCCGCGGUAAUACGUAUGUCACAAAGCGUUUAUCCGGAUUUAUUGGGCGUAAAGUGCGUCUAGGUGGUUAUGUAAGUCUGAUGUGAAAAUGCAGGGCUCAACUCUGUAUUGCGUUGGAAACUGUAUAACUAGAGUACUGGAGAGGUAAGCGGAACUACAAGUGUAGAGGUGAAAUUCGUAGAUAUUUGUAGGAAUGCCGAUGGGGAAGCCAGCUUACUGGACAGAUACUGACGCUGAAGCGCGAAAGCGUGGGUAGCAAACAGGAUUAGAUACCCUGGUAGUCCAUGCCGUAAACGAUGAUUACUAGGUGUUGGGGGUCGAACCUCAGCGCCCAAGCAAACGCNNUAAGUAAUCCGCCUGGGGAGUACGUACGCAAGUAUG
This 526-nucleotide ribosomal RNA is filed under the name uncultured bacterium. RNAcentral describes it as "bacterial SSU rRNA". It matches the Rfam family "Bacterial small subunit ribosomal RNA", at positions 355 to 896 of the family's 1533-position model. The record is from RNAcentral.